This 1808-nucleotide long non-coding RNA is filed under the name Bemisia tabaci. RNAcentral's name for it is "lncRNA ENSSSA3NGG005511". The record is from RNAcentral. Lineage: Eukaryota; Metazoa; Arthropoda; Insecta; Hemiptera; Aleyrodidae.
AUGGAAUCGAGGGUGUGUUUUGCUGUAGUUUUUUGGUUUGUGUCUCUAUUUUGUGCAGUGUAUAUUUUAAAUCGUGAUGCACAAUUUCAGUUGCUGACACUAAAAAGCCUAGCCAAAACUUCAGAUAAAGUUGAAUUCCUUGAAAAAAAGAAUGCAGAGUUGAAAACUCUGUUUGAGAAAUGUUAUUUCGGGUAUCCCCCAUGGCGUCCUCGAAAACGUUUAGUUCGACCAACACCUCCAAAUUUAGUACCUUUGUAUAGAGCCAAUAAUGAACCCACUGGAAUUUUCCAAGCCAAACUCGUACCACCUCUAAUGCCAAGAUUCAAUUUUGUGCCAAGCCUCGAAUAUGAAACUUUACGAAGAAAAUUGUACAUCGAUGUUCAAGACUUUUGGUGGUUCAUCUCAAGUCAGGUGAAAAAGUGAUCAAAGAAAAGAAGAAAAAGUGCCAGAGUUGAAUGACGAUUUUAAUAACUUACUGAGUUUGGGUGUAGAGUAUAAAGGUAGGUGUCUGCCUCUCUAUACGCUGUCUAAUUUUAUCUCCUCUCAUUUUCUUUCUGGAAUAUAAUGUUACAUUGAAAGGUAGAUAGAUGGACAGACCUAACUGUCGGGGGACAAAGCCCAAAAUACGAAAACUCUCAGGAUGUUGCAUCGAUAGUAAAACUGCAAAAUGACUUACCUCUGUAACAUCCCAGAUUUCUUUUAUUUUUUAAUUUCUUGGAGGAUGACUUGAUCUACACUAAUGCACAGAAUUUUGUGACUUUUUCUCGCGGGUGGGGAAAGAAGUGGUUGGUGGACUUUAGGAAAAAAUUAAGUAUUUGGUGAUUUUAAACAAUUAAAUUUGUCUUUAAGUUAACAUUGUGUCAGGUUCGACCCCUGAAAGUCGAUUUUCAGCUGUGCAACAUACUUUUAUUGACUUGUUUAAAAAGAUUUGUUCUAUUUCUGCCCAUAAACUCGUUUUUCUGCCCAAGUAGCAUUUUUCAAUGUAAAAGUUGCAAAAAAUUGAAACAAUGUUGGUAUUAGUUGCAAUUUUCAGUCAACUUUUGGUCGAUAAGUGCCGAUCUUUGGCGAUCUGAUCGGAAGACAAAGUUGCAAACUGCUGAGAUUGCAAAAUUGCUGCACCAAAGUUGUUUAAAAUCUAAAGAUAGGCAACCAGCAAUACUUUGAAGUUGAAACGUGUUUCAACUUAAUUGCAACUAGUUCCGACAAUGAUAGCUCCUUCGGGGGAGAGAGUAGGCAAUCUGCACAUCAAUCUAUUAGUUGCAAGAACCAAACGAUUUUGUUGCAAGUUGGUGCAACCUCUGUUACUUGGGUGCAAGUCACUAAAAUGUUAUUCACCUCCUUUUUCAUUGAAGGCUUUAGUUACUUAAGUAUUUUUUUUUAAAAAAAAUUAAAAAUUGCACUUACUUUAUAUCUGCAAUCUAAGUACAUUUGAUUUAUUUUUGUUUCAGAUCGAUUUUGAAAGAUCUUUCCUCUAUUAGUUCCUAUGAUGGUCAUGAUUCAUGGCGGUGGCACGAACUGAAUGACCUUGCUAAUCUUGUUCAGCAACGUAUUGAGAAGCUCCAGAAUCCAACAGAUUGCUUCCGAGCAGAGAAGUUUACUUGUACUCUGAUCAAGGUAUUUUCAACUGAAAUUAUCCAUUCAAAGUUCAAAAGCACGUAUUUUGAAUGUAUUACAAUGUCGCAAGUUAACCCAAAUAUUUUGUCUCCAAAGGAAGCUAAAUUAAUAUUAAAAUUUCUUCUGCUUUUUUUUCCCCCCCAAGGAAUAUUCUGUAAGAAUGUUAGUCAGUAAUAUUGAUUUGUUUUUCUUUG